UCAUUAGAGGCAGCUGAGAAACCCACGAGAGAAAAAGUUGAUUUCUGGCUGCAGGAAUUCUUGAAAACUCACAAAAUGAAAAUGAAGGAGAAAGUAGAACACAUAUUUGAGGGUAAAAAAGAAAAGGAAGAACAUCUGAAGAAUGUUUUCACAGAACUCUUCAUUACGGAGGGGAUACUGAAAAAGUCAAUCAUGAACAUGAGGUUCUGCAGAUUUGAUGAUGCCAUUAAAAUCUGUAAAUCACAGAACAGGUCAAUCAAAUGCAAUGAUGUAUUUAGUCUGAACAAAAAUAAUAAGAAAAAGAUUGUGCUGACCAAAGGCAUCGCAUUGGCAUUGGAAAAAAACUGUCUCAGUGCACAAGUUCAUUCUUGACUGGGCAGAAGGAAAAUCCAAUGACAAUAUUGACUGUGUGUUUCUGCUUCCGUUCCGAAAGAUUAACUGCAUUAAAAACAGAGAGAUCAGUCUGCAUGAGUUUCUACAGAAGUUUAAUCCUGAAAAUGCAGGACCUGGAAACAACAAAGAUAAAUAAGGUAUAUAAAAUGUACGCUUGCAUUUAUCUUUGAUGGACUGGAUGAGAGUCGACUGGAUGAGAGUCGACUGGAUUUUGAAAGUGGAAUGGUGACGAGUGUUGAGGAGCGAUCUUCUGUAGAUGAACUGUUUACAAGUCUGGUGAAUGGGACUCUGCUUCCAUCAGCGCUCAUCUGGGUGACAUCACGACCAGCAGCAGCCAAUCAGAUCCCUCCUGAGUAUGUCGGGUUGUUCACAGAGGUGCGAGGAUUCACUGACCAGCAGAAGCAGGAGUACUUCAGAAAGAGAAUCAAAGAUGAAAACUCAGGCCUCCAGAAUGAUCUCACACAUUAAGAAAUCUCGAAGUCUCUAUAUCAUGUGCUACAUUCCCGUGUUCUGUUGGAUCACAGCCACUGUUCUUCAAGACAUCCCUAUUGGGAACAACGCACAGGACAUCAACACAACACUCACUGAAAUGUACAUCCAUUUCCUGCUGAUACAGAUGAACAUGAAGAACCAGAAGUAUGACAGAAAAA
Molecule: long non-coding RNA, 1043 nt
Organism: Cyprinus carpio (common carp)
Lineage: Eukaryota; Metazoa; Chordata; Actinopteri; Cypriniformes; Cyprinidae
Exons: 2
Source: RefSeq, a predicted model, not a curated record